UCACGCGAUCACUGUGCUGGCCGCAUAGAGCUGACUGCGUCGUGAAACCAAAGCAAGAAAACUCUCGGCCGUUUUAAGUCCAGCGAGCUUAAUAACUUGGACUCAGGUUAUAAUGAAGGCAUCUAAUAACAAAGUGAAUCCUGACUUAGCGAAAGAGCGAGCGAAAGCUUCAUUUGACACAACAGAACUGACUUACCUGCUUCAUGGAGGACGACAGAAGACGGAGAGGAAGAGAUUCUUAGAGUCUUUGUUAGUGAAGGAUCCCGUGUUUAGCAAGGAAGACGAAUAUGUCCUGGACCGCAAGCAUAAUUAUGAGAGAAAUUUACAGAAAGGAUUACAGAUUGUCAAACUGGCCAAGAAUUAUCAAAUCACUGAUCAACAGGAGUUGGGCAUGUUAGAAAAGUCUGCAGGGGGUAUUUUUCCAUUUCACCUUAGCAGAGUUAUGUUUAUUCCCACUUUAAAGGGUCAGGGAACAGAGGAACAGAAAGCCAAGUGGCUGCCUUUAGCAGAAUCUUAUCAGAUUAUUGGAACUUAUGCACAGACUGAACUAGGACAUGGGACUUUUGUGCGAGGCUUGGAGACUACAGCAACAUACGACAAGACAACGCAAGAGUUUGUUAUUCAUUCACCGUCACUGUCAGCAUGUAAAUGGUGGCCAGGAAACAUGGGCAAGUCUUCAAAUUUUGCUGUUGUGCCUGCAAGGCUAAUAGUAGAUAAAAAGGAUCAUGGAAUACAGAUGUUCAUAGUUCAGCUGCGGGAUCGACAGACACAUCAGCCUCUGCCUGGUGUAACGGUAGGAGAUAUUGGAGCCAAAUUUUCUCCAACUCUGAAUGGAGCUGACAAUGGAUAUCUAAUGUUUGACCAUGUACGAAUUCCACUCGACCAAAUGCUGAUGGGGCUAGCAAAGCUUUCCCCUGAUGGCACCUUCACCAAACCAGCAAACACCAAACUUUUGUAUGGCACCAUGAGUUUUGUGCGAGCAGCCAUUGUUCAUGAUUGCUACGGCGGACUUUCCCAAGCAAUAACCAUUGCUAUUCGUUACAGUGCAGUACGGAGGCAGAGUCAACUCAAACCUAGUGAGCCGGAAGCACAGAUUAUCGCCUAUAAAACCCAACAGUACAAACUGUUACCAGGUUUAGCCAUGGCUUAUGCUACCAAGUUUACUUUUGACCAUGUCUGGAGAUCAUUUCAAGAAAUGCAGAAGCAAGUUGCUGCGGGAGAAUUUUCUAUGUUACCAGAGGUGCAUGCUAUCACCAGUGGUCUUAAAGCGUUCUGUACAUCAACAUCCAUGCACCAUGCUGAGACAUGUCGACUGGCUUGUGGUGGACAUGGUUUCUUACUGUACAGCGCUCUUCCUGGGUUAUACACAGUGCUAAAUGCUGCUUGCACUUACGAGGGAGAUAAUGACGUUCUUUAUUUACAAGUAGCUAGGUAUCUUAUGAAAUGUACUUCACAAGUUAAACAGGGUAAGACACCUCCCUUGUCACUUUCAUUCUUGUCGCGGAAACCAGAAUUGUGUCCAGUAACAAGAGGUGAAGAAUUCUUGGAUCCUCAAGUGCAAAGGAAAAUUUACUAGGAUAGAACAUCAAGCGAGGUUAUGGCUGUGGCAGAGAGAUUGCAGAGCAGAAUCUUUUCUGGAAUGGAUUCUGCUGAUGCUUGGAAUGAAGUGUCCGUAGACUUGAUACGUUGUGCAAAGGACUACAGUAACUAUGUUAUGGUGUUAUGCGUACUGGAAUCAAUGGAGAUGCUGUCUGGCGUGAGCUCAAGUUUGCGCAGGGU
RNAcentral lists this unclassified non-coding RNA (1779 nucleotides) under Orbicella faveolata. Its description in RNAcentral is "peroxisomal acyl-coenzyme A oxidase 1-like, transcript variant X1". Lineage: Eukaryota; Metazoa; Cnidaria; Anthozoa; Scleractinia; Merulinidae. The record is from RNAcentral.